AAGACCUUGCGCUUUUGGAGCGGCCGAUGCCUGAUUAGCUUGUUGGUAAGGUAAAAGCUUACCAAGGCUUCGAUCAGUAGCUGGUCUGAGAGGACGGCCAGCCACACGGGGACUGAGACACGGCCCAGACUCCUACGGGAGGCAGCAGUGGGGAAUUUUGGACAAUGGGGGCAACCCUGAUCCAGCCAUGCCGCGUGAGUGAAGAAGGCCUUCGGGUUGUAAAGCUCUUUCAGCCGGAACGAAACGGUUACGGUUAAUACCCGUGAUUACUGACGGUACCGGAAGAAGAAGCACCGGCUAACUACGUGCCAGCAGCCGCGGUAAUACGUAGGGUGCGAGCGUUAAUCGGAAUUACUGGGCGUAAAGCGUGCGCAGGUGGUUUUGUAAGUCAGAUGUGAAAGCCCCGGGCUCAACCUGGGAACU
RNAcentral lists this ribosomal RNA (423 nucleotides) under uncultured bacterium. RNAcentral describes it as "bacterial SSU rRNA". It matches the Rfam family "Bacterial small subunit ribosomal RNA", at positions 207 to 622 of the family's 1533-position model. The record is from RNAcentral.